UGCAUGGGAUGCUGCUGCUGAUGCUGCUGCAGAGGCUCCAUCCAUCCGUCCACCCAUCGCUCCAUCCCUUCCCUCCCUCGAAGAGAAAGCAGAAAACAAGGAGUGGUUAUGUGAUUCCCCAUAAGCAGGAGGAGAAGUGCACAGGAGAGAAAGGAAUAGCAGGGAGAGGAGGAGGAGGGGGGGGGGCGUUUCCCUGCACGGUAUAGCCUAUUCUCACUCCUCAGCAUGGAUACAAUGUGAUGCAUAUGGGGCUGCUUCUUCAGGAAAGGUGGACACAGCGGUGCUAUCCUGAAAGAUUUGCCUCCGCACAGACCUCCUCCUUCCUUCCCUCCACACUGCGAUCAUACUCAGAGAGCUGAAGAGGCUGAAAAAGGAUGCACACAGAGACGAAGAAGAAUGGAGGAAACCAGGAGAGGAAAAAAAAGUAAUGGAAGUGGAGGAGGUGGGACUCUUUGCUCCGGUCUCGACCACGGGUAUUCUUGGGUUGAUAAUACAGAUGUGGAUGUUAUUGCUUGAGAAUACGCGUAGUCGAGUGGAAGCUUUGUCAUCUAUAAGGGUCCAAAAAGCAGAGAUCUAUUCAGUAAAUUACAAUAGCAGACACAUAGAAAUGUGUAGACGGGACGAGGAGGUGGCACAGACAUGGGAUGGUUUUUAAUUAAGCACCCAGAGGUGACUUUUUUUUUAUAGGAAAGGGCUUAUUUUGUUCUAUCAGAAAAGGCUUUUUAAAUAGAACGCAAUCAGGGGCCAGCCAAAUCAAAUCCAGCCACUGAAAAGGUUUUAUCAUCGUAGCUUUAUCAACCAUGUCACUCUUCACACCUGUGGAGGAAAUGAGUUUGUUUCGCCGCCCAAUUUCAGCCUCUCCUGCAGGAGGGGUGGGGGCUCGCACCAUGCCACUAAGCUAAACCCCCCCCAGGCAUUAGUUCAGGGAGCUUAACACAAAAGUCUUCAGACUCAGACGUUAAUUCCAAACCUUCUUGAUUACAUACCCUUGUCAGUCAGUCGAGCACACAAGUGAGCCCAUAAUCUUAUCAGUUGAUGAAUGUCUUUCACAGCCCUUCACACUCUGCACCAAACAUUUCCCUCAUUCUGAACGGAAAUUUUUAAGUUUGCAAAAUCUGUGCAAAAAAAAAAAAAAAAAAAGCUUUUUUUUUUUUUUGUUGUGGGACGGAAAUGCCACGGGAUGGUAGAUAUUUGUGCAUAACCAUCAUCCCGCUGCUGCCUCUACUUUCACACUCCUAUUUUCUGUCUUCCUGGCUCAUGCUAAAAAUGUGCAAAGAGUUUGAUGCCUGUAGCAGCAACAGGAGACAGUAACACAUGAGGACAUGUCAAGGCUUGCACCCGUUGCUGACAUUUCAGCUUUCGGCUCAGCUGACUGGCUGUCAUAAUGGAGACUCACACACAUACAUACACACACACACACACACACACACACAUAUAUAUAUAUAAACUGCACGAGGGUUCACAUGAUCUACAUGCCUGUAGGGAAAUAAGGGAUUGAUGGGUCUUAAGAAAACCAGCAUUCAGAUCCCCACACAUACAUAUUUGGAUGCACACACAUUGCAGUGAGGUUCAAUGGGUCCAUGUGCCAGUGGGGAAAUAAGGGAUUGAUUGAUAUUAUGGGUAACUAUUUUUAGUCAGAAUGAUGGAUGUUUAUGUCUUUUAUCGAUCAAGUUGAGGUGCAGGUCUGAAGAAUUCAUAGAGUCAGAGCAUGCUGAUUAAUCAGGUAGCGGUGGAGUUGGAAUAAAACAUCCAGAAAUACAUUUUAGGUACAUUAGCAUUAUUGCUAAGUACUAUAAAUUAAAAUCUCAAAGUUUCAUUGCAAAUUCAGCAAUAUAUUAGCAUCUGUUAGCGAAUGUGCCUGUGAUGAAUUACACUCUCAUCGCUUACUACUCCAUGAUUUCUUACUCCUGCGUAAGCAAAUCUCUUAUUUAUUAGCGCAGUAAGUAAUUAUAAUUUAUACACAUUUCACACUGACGUGUAAACUUGUUGAUUUGGCAAAGCUGUUUCUGUGGUUUUGUGUGUAUUUGUGUAUGCAUGUGCAUGUGUGUGUGUUCUAAGCAACAAAAUGACUAUUGUGAGCACAGCUCCAGGUGCCUAGCAACCGAAUGGCUCUGUUUCCUUGGCAACAGUUGCCUCGCACUCACUGUGUGGGUGAUUGGCAGCCUUGACAACGGAGACGGAGUGACACUUGACCUCGCGUGCUGAAUGGUAGAGGAGAAAGAAGGAGCGAGAAAUAGAAGAGAGAGGGGGAGGCAGUGGGAGGGGACGAGCACAGACAGAUGAGAGACUAAGUGAUAAUCAUUCUCUAUUGUAAUCAUCCUCCAGCAUGUUUCAUAAGGCGUCGGCAAUACCUCUCCAGCUGGGGUCCAUCAUCAAACACAAUGCACGGUGAAGGGGCGCGCAUGCACGACACACUCCUUCCUGGGUGGAGAGCCCAGGCAGGCACUCCACAUCUCAUCUAUUAUCACUCAGCUCUGCCUGGUGCACAGCCUCACUACACUGUGUCUGCUUUCAUUUGUGAUCCGCUACAUCCUGCGCUCAGCGGGCAUGAAUGGAUACUGGACUCCUGAAAAUGUGUCACGGUCACAGAUGCCACAGGAGAGUAGAUCAGAAGCCGUGCACAGACACGCUUUACUUUGAACGUGGCACUUCCACUGCUGUUUGACACCUUUGAAUUGAAGUGGUGUAAUUAUUAAAAAUGUGUUUUUUGGUCGUUCUCCAUCCCAUUCUCUGGCUGAGGGGAUCCCUUUGUACCAGGUUUAUCAAAAAAAACAUGUUUUUCUAGGCUGGCUACACCUGUGUUAAAUGAUGGGAGGGAAAAGUAGAGAACAGAAAGAUCAAAUAAAACAACAUAUUUGGAGAGUAAGCCUUUUCUUUAAUUUUACACUCUUAUAUUAAGUCAACACAAGGCUAUUUCAAUUUAACUGUUACCUUUUCAUUUGUCACCAGCUGGUUAUUCUCUUUCUCAUUCUUUAGGAGACAAUCACAACCUUUGAUUUCCUAGUUAUAAAAAAAGCUUCAUAUAUUAACAUUACGACAUACUCCUACAUAUUCAAAUUCAAAGAUCGGUUAUUGUGUGGUUCAGGUUGUAGCUUUUUUUGUCCUGUGUAAGCCGUUGUAAUGAUCUCCCUUUAACUCUAUUAAAACAAAAGGACAUUCACCUUAUCAUAACACAAUAAACUGAAAACCAACCAACA
Long non-coding RNA from Labrus bergylta (ballan wrasse), 3197 nucleotides. RefSeq lists it as uncharacterized. Lineage: Eukaryota; Metazoa; Chordata; Actinopteri; Labriformes; Labridae. The record is from RefSeq and is a predicted model, not a curated record.